UCAAGUUACAAAGAGCUAACGGUGGAUCCCUUGGCACACAGAGGCGAAGAAGGACGUAGCGACCGACGAAACGCUCCGGGGAGCUGGAAGCAAGCAUUGAUCCGGAGGUGUCCGAAUGGGGCAACCCUGCAUACUGCCCGCUGAAUAUAUAGGCGGGAAAGAGCGAACGCAGCGAACUGAAACAUCUUAGUAGCUGUAGGAAGAGAAAGCAAAAGCGAUUCCCUAAGUAGCGGCGAGCGAAAUGGGAACAGCCUAAACCUAUCUCUAAGGAGAUAGGGGUCGUGGGACAGUCACCAGAGACUAGAAAGGUUAAACGAAAUAGUUGAAAGCUAUACCAGAGAAGGUAAAAGUCCUGUAGUUGAAAACUAGACUAGCUCGACUGAAUCCCGAGUAGCACGGAGCACGUGAAAUUCCGUGUGAAUCAGCGAGGACCACCUCGUAAGGCUAAAUACUCCUGUGUGACCGAUAGCGAACCAGUACCGCGAGGGAAAAGUGAAAAGAACCCCAGUGAGGGGAGUGAAAUAGAACGUGAAACCGUUAGCUUACAAGCAGUGGGAGGACGAUUUAACGUCUGACCGCGUGCCUGUUGAAGAAUGAGCCGGCGACUUACAGGUUCUGGCAGGUUAAGACGGAAAUGUCGAAGCCAAAGCGAAAGCGAGUCUGAAUAGGGCGUUAGUCAGAAUUUGUAGACCCGAACCCGGGUGAUCUAACCAUGUCCAGGAUGAAGCUUGGGUAAAACCAAGUGGAGGUCCGAACCGACUAAUGUUGAAAAAUUAGCGGAUGAGGUGUGGUUAGGGGUGAAAUGCCAAUCGAACCCGGAGCUAGCUGGUUCUCCCCGAAAUGUGUUUAGGCGCAGCGGUUAAGAGAUUGCAUGGGGGGUAAAGCACUGUUUCGCUGCGGGCUGCGAGAGCGGUACCAAAGUGAGGCAAACUCAGAAUACCCAUGUAAAACUUAACCAGUAAGACGGUGGGGGAUAAGCUUCAUCGUCAAGAGGGAAACAGCCCAGACCACCAGCUAAGGUCCCCAAAUGGACACUAAGUGAGUAAGGAGGUGGGAGUGCAUAGACAACCAGGAGGUUUGCCUAGAAGUAGCCAUCCUUGAAAGAGUGUGUAAUAACUCACUGGUCAAGCGCUCCUGCGCCGAAAAUGAACGGGGCUAAGUGUCCUACCGAAGCUGUGGACUUACUACGUAAGUGGUAGGGGAGCGUUCUGUAUGGUGAGAAGCAUUAGCGGCAAGCAGAUGUGGACUGUACAGAAGUGAGAAUGUCGGCUUGAGUAGCGAAAAUAUGUGUGAGAAUCACAUACCCCGAAACCCUAAGGGUUUCUCCGGAAGGCUCGUCCGCGGAGAGUUAGUCGGGACCUAAGGCGAGGCCGAAAGGCGUAGUCGAUGGAUACAGGGUACAAAAUUCCCUGACUUCUAAGUGGGAGCUGCAUAAGGGACGCAUGAAAACUAGCCUUACCCUGAUUGGAUUGGGAGGAGUCUACGGACUCUGCAAGGUGAACGAUAGUGCCAAGAAAAGCUUAUGUAGUGAUGAAAGCUUAGAACCCGUACCCGAAACCGACACAGGUAGGGUGGUAGAGAAUACCGAGGGGCGCGAGGUAACUCUCUCUAAGGAACUCGGCAAAAUUACCCCGUAACUUCGGGAGAAGGGGUGCCACCGAGAGGUGGUCGCAGUGAAGAGUCCCAGGCGACUGUUUACCAAAAACAUAGGUCUCUGCCAACUCGCAAGAGGAAGUAUAGGGGCUGACGCCUGCCCAGUGCCGGAAGGUUAAGGAAGUUGGUCAGUCUUCGGAUGAAGCUAGCGACUGAAGCCCCGGUGAACGGCGGCCGUAACUAUAACGGUCCUAAGGUAGCGAAAUUCCUUGUCGGGUAAGUUCCGACCCGCACGAAAGGCGUAACGAUCUGGGAGCUGUCUCGGAGAGAGGCUCGGCGAAAUAGGAUUGUCUGUGAAGAUACGGACUCCCUGCACCUGGACAGAAAGACCCUAUGAAGCUUUACUGUAGCCUGGCAUUGUGUUCGGGCCUCAAUUGCGCAGGAUAGGUGGGAGGCGUUGAAGUAGCUCUUGUGGGAGUUAUGGAGCCACUGGUGAGAUACCACUCUAUUGAGGCUAGAAUUCUAACCCUAACCCGUUAGCCGGGAAGGGGACAGUUUCAGGUGGGCAGUUUGACUGGGGCGGUCGCCUCCAAAAAGGUAACGGAGGCGCGCAAAGGUUCCCUCAGGCUGGUUGGAAAUCAGCCGCAGAGUGCAAAGGCAGAAGGGAGCUUGACUGCGAGACUGACAAGUCGAGCAGGGACGAAAGUCGGCCUUAGUGAUCCGACGGCACUGCGUGGAAGGGCCGUCGCUCAACGGAUAAAAGUUACUCUAGGGAUAACAGGCUGAUCUCCCCCAAGAGUCCACAUCGACGGGGAGGUUUGGCACCUCGAUGUCGGCUCAUCGCAACCUGGGGCGGAAGUACGUCCCAAGGGUUGGGCUGUUCGCCCAUUAAAGCGGUACGUGAGCUGGGUUCAGAACGUCGUGAGACAGUUCGGUCCAUAUCCGGUGCAGGCGCAAGAGCAUUGAGAGGAUUCUUCCUUAGUACGAGAGGACCGGGAAGAACGCACCUCUGGUGUACCUGUUAUCGUGCCAACGGUAAACGCAGGGUAGCCAAGUGCGGAGCGGAUAACCGCUGAAAGCAUCUAAGUGGGAAGCCCACCUCAAGAUGAGUGCUCUCAUGGCAUAAGCCAGUAAGGUCACGGGCAGACUACCCGUUAAUAGGUGCUAGGUGGAAGUGCAGUAAUGUAUGCAGCCGAGGCAUCCUAACAGACCGAGGGCUUGACCUC
This 2819-nucleotide ribosomal RNA is filed under the name Spirulina major PCC 6313. RNAcentral's name for it is "bacterial LSU rRNA". It matches the Rfam family "Bacterial large subunit ribosomal RNA". The record is from RNAcentral. Lineage: Bacteria; Bacillati; Cyanobacteriota; Cyanophyceae; Spirulinales; Spirulinaceae.